AAACAGCCACUCCAGUUACGACUGUAGUAAUAAUUGUCAGAGAAUGCCAGAAAUGUAAUGUAGGAUACUGUAAUCUUGCUACUGUAGAUAUCAAGUCUCCGGCUACAGUAUGAGGGUAUUGCAGGAAGAUAUGUUUAAAAAGCAACUACAAAGCUUUCCAUUCAGCAGUAUGGCAAUGUAACGGGCGUACUUUGAUUAACGAUUUGAUACUAUCCUAAUUACAGAUUACAAAUUGAUUAAGGAAAGAAAGAGAAAAGAAAUCAGAAGAAAAGGUUGUAUGAAGAGGGUUGUUAUAGAGAGAAGUUUGA
RNAcentral lists this small RNA (308 nucleotides) under Histoplasma ohiense. RNAcentral's name for it is "hypothetical lncRNA". Lineage: Eukaryota; Fungi; Ascomycota; Eurotiomycetes; Onygenales; Ajellomycetaceae. The record is from RNAcentral.